RNAcentral lists this ribosomal RNA (492 nucleotides) under uncultured bacterium. RNAcentral's name for it is "partial 16S ribosomal RNA". It matches the Rfam family "Bacterial small subunit ribosomal RNA", at positions 29 to 507 of the family's 1533-position model. The record is from RNAcentral.
AGUGAACGCUGGCGGUAGGCCUAACACAUGCAAGUCGAACGGCAGCACAGUAAGAGCUUGCUCUUACGGGUGGCGAGUGGCGGACGGGUGAGGAAUACAUCGGAAUCUACUUUUUCGUGGGGGAUAACGUAGGGAAACUUACGCUAAUACCGCAUACGACCUACGGUUGAAAGCAGUGGAUCUUCGGACCUUGCGCGAUUGAAUGAGCCGAUGUCGGAUUAGCUAGUUGGCGGGGUAAAGGCCCACCAAGGCGACGAUCCGUAGCUGGUCUGAGAGGAUGAUCAGCCACACUGGAACUGAGACACGGUCCAGACUCCUACGGGAGGCAGCAGUGGGGAAUAUUGGACAAAGGGCGCAAGCCUGAUCCAGCCAUACCGCGUGGGUGAAGAAGGCCUUCGGGUUGUAAAGCCCUUUUGUUGGGAAAGAAAAGCAGCAGGUUAAUACCCCGCUGUUCUGACGGUACCCAAAGAAUAAGCACCGGCUAACUUCGUG